This is a long non-coding RNA of Ruditapes philippinarum (Manila clam), 817 nucleotides long. RefSeq lists it as uncharacterized. Lineage: Eukaryota; Metazoa; Mollusca; Bivalvia; Venerida; Veneridae. The record is from RefSeq and is a predicted model, not a curated record. The transcript is spliced from 2 exons.
UAGGUCUGUGCUCAGCUCAUCUGCAUAUGGUAAACAAUAUCUCAACAUCCAUCAAAAACGAAUGCUAAUACAAAUACAAGUAGAAAUAGCUGAAAAUUAGAAAUUAAUGACCCUUGUUCCCAUUUUUUCCAAUAGGAGUUUGCAAACUUUUUGAGUCUUUCUUAAUGUUAGUUCUCCAUUUCGUUCUUUUUUGUCUCAGUUCACAAGCGUACAAAUCUGAACUCCCCUGAUAGGAAAACAAUGUUUGAUAAAUUACGCUAUAAAGCAUAGACGGACAGAGCCUAUUAAUAAAAUAACUGUCAUCCAUUUAAUGUAUGUACCAGUAACGAUGUUUAUUUCAGGUUAAGAUCUCAGGCAGUCAGGAUAUGUAUCUAAGAAUUAUAAAACCUGUGCUUUUACCCUAUCGUAUGGACACAAGCGCGUUCUAGACAACAUGGCAUCCAAUGAUUUAUAGCCCAUGUUGUCUCUAUUUACCGUGCCAGACACAUCUCCAAAGGAUCAAGAACUUUACAUCGAUGAUUUCCUACGAUAAUUUCAAUCUGAAUGCCAUGUAUUUGUUCAAUUGACAACAUCUAGAGUAACAUCUCUUCCCUAUUGCUGUGAUAAGACGUGUUUUUGUGUUGGACGUCACUCUAUUGACCAUGUGGUUUAUACAAAUAGUUUAUUAGUCUUAUCAAAAACAUUUAUUAAUAUAUCAUAUUUCUGCAUGUAGUUAUACGUCUAUAUAUUAACAUUUAACCCAUGGACACGGAGAUACAUAAUUCUUGUUUUGUGUGUUGACGUAUUGACAAAAGCAUCUUAAUAAAAAUUAAAAUAA